GUACUGCUGAAGAGUCCCGAAUUAAGGGAACGAAACAGCUGUCCAGUAC
This 49-nucleotide non-coding RNA is filed under the name Trichobilharzia regenti. The record is from RNAcentral. Lineage: Eukaryota; Metazoa; Platyhelminthes; Trematoda; Strigeidida; Schistosomatidae.